GCCAUUGUUUGUGUUUCAAACAUCACACAUCCUCUGUCACCACAGGAGCUACUUUGUCACCAUGAACAGAGACGUGGCAACCAGAGAAACCAGGGAAGGGCAUUCAGAGACGUGGCAACCAGAGACAUGAUACAAUGUCAAUGGCGUCUACAACUGUGUUUGUUGACACAAGAAAUAAAAGGGUUUGCAACCAUUUCGAUCAAUUCUUCGAUAGCGUGGCUUUUCUGCAGAUAGUUGUAAACCUUGUGACUUAUUUCAAUGAGGUUAUGCAUUUGGAAAUCACGGAUUCAACCACUACGCUGACAAAUUUUGUCGGCACUACAUUUCUGGUGGCAUUGUUUGGAGGAAUGAUUUCUGACUCCUAUGUUGACAGAUUCAAGAUGAACUUUUUCUCUGCUUGUACAGAGCUUGCCUUUUGCAGCUUUCUCCUCGGCAUGUUAGAUACAAUGUCGAUGGCGUUUACAACUGUCUAUUGACACAAGAAAUAAAAGGGUUUGCAACCAUUUCGAGCAGGUUUCAUGAUGAUUGGAUGCUAACAUGUGGAUGUAGGUUGAUAUAUGUGUGCAUUUGAUGUUUUUGGGAUAGAAUGCCCGAUGUAUGUAAUGCCAUGAUGGUUAUGUAUGUAUAAUAAAAUGAUGAUAUAUGAU
RNA transcript from Cryptomeria japonica (Japanese cedar), 647 nucleotides. It is a transcript of the gene named protein NRT1/ PTR FAMILY 4.6-like, with no coding region annotated. The transcript has 5 exons. The record is from RefSeq and is a predicted model, not a curated record. NCBI's taxonomy places the organism in Eukaryota, Viridiplantae, Streptophyta, Pinopsida, Cupressales, Cupressaceae.